RNAcentral lists this ribosomal RNA (119 nucleotides) under Hucho hucho (huchen). The record is from RNAcentral. Lineage: Eukaryota; Metazoa; Chordata; Actinopteri; Salmoniformes; Salmonidae.
ACUUGUGGCCAUACCACCCUGAACAUGCUUGAUCUCGUCUGAUCUCGGUGGAUGAGCAGGGUUGGGGCUGGUUAGUACUUGGAUGGGAGACCACCUGGGAAUGCCAGGUGCUGUAAGCU